Molecule: ribosomal RNA, 1325 nt
Filed under: metagenome
Description: bacterial LSU rRNA
Rfam family: Bacterial large subunit ribosomal RNA
Source: RNAcentral
AGUGGAUGGGGAGCAACCUAGUUGUGCGUGUGUAAAGGUAGUGCCAAGAAAAGCGAUGAUCAUGUUGAAAAUCAAUUCCCGGUACCCGAAACCGACACAGGUGGGCAAGUAGAGAAUACUAAGGGGCGCGAGGUAACUCUCUCCAAGGAACUCGGCAAAAUGACCCCGUAACUUAGGGAGAAGGGGUGCCACCGAGAGGUGGUCGCAGUGAAGAGGCCCAGGCGACUGUUUAGCAAAAACAUAGGUCUCUGCAAACUCGAAAGAGGAGGUAUAGGGGCUGACGCCUGCCCAGUGCCGGAAGGUUAAAGAAGUUGGUCAGUUUUAGGAUGAAGCUAGCGACUGAAGCCCCGGUGGACGGCGGCCGUAACUAUAACGGUCCUAAGGUAGCGAAAUUCCUUGUCGGGUAAGUUCCGACCCGCACGAAAGGCGUAACGAUCUGGGCGCUGUCUCGGAGAGAGGCUCGGCGAAAUAGGAUUGUCUGUGAAGAUACGGACUACCUGCAUUUGGACAGAAAGACCCUAUGAAGCUUUACUAUAGCUUGGAAUUGUGUUCGGGCUUCCUGUGCGCAGGAUAGGUGGGAGGCGAAGAAGGUAUUCUUGUGGGGAUACUGGAGCCAACGGUGAGAUACCACUCUCAGGAGGCUAGAAUUCUAACUUAAUUAAGGACAGUUUCAGGUGGGUAGUUUGACUGGGGCGGUCGCCUCCAAAAAGGUAACGGAGGCGUACAAAGGUUCCCUCAGACUGGUUGGAAAUCAGUCGCAGAGUGCAAAGGCAGAAGGGAGCUUGACUGCGAGAAGUACAGUUCGAGCAGGGUGGAAACACGGUCUUAGUGAUCCGACGGUGCUGUGUGGAAGGGCCGUCGCUCAACGGAUAAAAGUUACUCUAGGAUAACAGGCUGAUCUCCCCCAAGAGUUCACAUCGACGGGGAGGUUUGGCACCUCGAUGUCGGCUCAUCGCAACCUGGGGCGGAAGUACGUCCCAAGGGUUGGGCUGUUCGCCCAUUAAAGCGGUACGUGAGCUGGGUUCAGAACGUCGUGAGACAGUUCGGUCCAUAUCCGAUGUAGGCGUGAGAAUAUUGAGAGGAGCCUUCCUUAGUACGAGAGGACCGGGAAGGACGCACCGCUGGUGUACCUGUUAUGAUGCCAAUUGUAAACGCAGGGUAGCCAAGUGCGGAGAGGAUAACCGCUGAAAGCAUCUAAGUGGGAAGCCCACCUCAAGAUGAGUAUUCUGGUGUAAGGUCACGGGAAGACGACCCGUAAAUAGGCACGAGGUGGAAGUGCAGAGAUGUAUGAAGCCGAAGUGUACUAAUAGACCGUCGGCUUGACC